Molecule: small RNA, 129 nt
Filed under: Marmota monax (woodchuck)
Lineage: Eukaryota; Metazoa; Chordata; Mammalia; Rodentia; Sciuridae
Source: RNAcentral
GCUGGGCAUGGUGGUGCAUGCCUGUAACCCCAGCAGCUCAGGAGGCUGAGGCAGGAGGAUUGUGAGUUCAAAGCGAGCUUCAGCAAAAGCAAGGUCCUAACUAAGCUACUCAGUGAGACACUGUCUCUA